AUUGAACGCUGGCGGCAGGCCUAACACAUGCAAGUCGAACGGUAACAGGAAGCAGCUUGCUGCUUCGCUGACGAGUGGCGGACGGGUGAGUAAUGUCUGGGAAACUGCCUGAUGGAGGGGGAUAACUACUGGAAACGGUAGCUAAUACCGCAUAACGUCGCAAGACCAAAGAGGGGGACCUUAGGGCCUCUUGCCAUCGGAUGUGCCCAGAUGGGAUUAGGUAGUAGGUGGGGUAACGGCUCACCUAGGCGACGAUCCCUAGCUGGUCUGAGAGGAUGACCAGCCACACUGGAACUGAGACACGGUCCAGACUCCUACGGGAGGCAGCAGUGGGGAAUAUUGCACAAUGGGCGCAAGCCUGAUGCAGCCAUGCCGCGUGUAUGAAGAAGGCCUUCGGGUUGUAAAGUACUUUCAGCGGGGAGGAAGGGAGUAAAGUUAAUACCUUUGCUCAUUGACGUUACCCGCAGAAGAAGCACCGGCUAACUCCGUG
This 490-nucleotide ribosomal RNA is filed under the name uncultured bacterium. Its description in RNAcentral is "partial 16S ribosomal RNA". It matches the Rfam family "Bacterial small subunit ribosomal RNA", at positions 30 to 507 of the family's 1533-position model. The record is from RNAcentral.